UAACUUCUUGCAGAAAUGCGAGGUAAAGCUACAUAUAAUAGACCCUUAUAGUCAGCCCCUUCCCCAAACCUUAUGCGUAGCGAGAACUUAGUGCACCGAAUUGCCCUAAAUAAAUGAUCAUGUGUACAUAUAUUUUUUUAUAUGGUAAUCACUUAACCAUAUACAUUCUCGUCUAAACUGUAUAUCUUCACCAUAAUAAAGUAGUAAUAUAAUUUAGUAUAAACAUGGGGUGUGAGUUUUUUUUUCAAACUAACAUCAUGAUGUCCACACCCUUAUAAACAACUAGCCAAACCUUCCUAGUGAAACCCUCCAUCCCACCCUCCCUAUAGACUAUUCCUUUUGUGCAGUGUUCUUGAUAAGCAGCCACCCUUUUGCCACCAGCUCAGGUGGCAAAGGGGUGGCGCGCGCGGCUAAAGCUGGCGGAGGAGCUGGUGUCUGUUCUUGACAAUUGUUAGAGGUCAUAGAGCUGCAGCUGCUGCUAUAUUUUAUCUUUAGUCCCAACUCAAGGUAAGGAAAUUGUCAUUUUCUUUGGUGGUGGUUUUCUAGUUCUAGUUACGAAGGGCAACUUGUAUCCUUUGGCAUUUAGACUUCCCUUUGAGUCAAUCUUCGUGAGCUCGAGGAAGUUAAUUAUUAUAGUUUAAAUAAUCUCAAGGGCAAGCAGGAUUUAUGCUUAGCCUAUUUGCUGUACUAAUUAGUUCAACUUAUAAAGUUUUUAAUAAAUGUUGUGUUUGAGAAGAACUUAAUGAACAUGUUUUUUGUAUUAAGCCUUUGGUUAUAAUACUGAUGAAAGUAUUUUCUAUUAAGGUUUGGUAGUGGUUUUUUGUGUUUACAUUGUGGUUUGAGCUGCCGAAGGAGUGGAAAGUGACUUGGUUCGUCAUAUUCACGUAUAGAUAUUGUAAUAUAAUUCAUAAAUAUUGGAAUAUGAGUUAAAUGUAAUGUUUUGAAAAUAAAAGGUUGAUAAUUUCCAUUAUUCCUUCAUCUCGUGAUUAAAAGUGUAAGUAUUUUCGUGUGUCUCAAAAUGAUUAUUGUUAAGCCAAGUUAGUCACUAAUAAUCACAUUAGAUACCUUGCAUAUAACUUGAAUGAAGUUUUUCUCUUAUCUCUUGAUUACACUCAUAGAUCUUUCAUUUGUUUAUGUUGAAUUCUUUUUCUUGUCUAGCUGAUUCACACUAUCAUAAUUUCUUAAAUGUAAUUAUUAUUACGCUAAGCCUUGAGGAAUGGACAAUUAUCAUUUAUGUUAGAAGAGCGAAAGGCUGAGACAUUUUUGUACCAAAAGGUAAAAAUCUAUCGUAAUAAAUUGAGCAUUUAAUUCUCUACUACACUUUAUAUGAAAACAUAAAAUACGAUAUAACAUAUGAAAUAUUUUUUGAAACUUCUGAAAUAUUUUUGUAGUCACAACCAAAAUCAUUUAAUAUCCAAUUGAAAAUUUUCAUUCAUUUUCAUUUUUAUAGUCUUUUUUAUUAUUCUUAAUUUGAUAACUACUUAAUGUAUUUGAUCUAUUAAAAACAUCUGAUACUUUUUGUAUUCCAAUUAAAUUCAUAGAAUUUUUGGUUUGAGAAAAUUUCAGAUAAAAAUCAUACUAUAUUAUAAGCAUGAAGAUUUUUAGGUAAAGUUAUUUUACUACAAUAUCCUCUAAAAACUGAAUUACCCAAUUACCUUCUAUUAAAUGACAUUUUGUCCAGGUAAAAAAAUUUACAACAUUAAUAAAAAAAUAAUAAUUCCAAUAAUGGGUGCUGUUGUACAUUUCGGCCGUUAUUGAUAUUAUGGAGGAUACAUUAACUACACGUUUUUAUGAUGUUUUCACACUUUCUUUCUAUUCUUUCCGUCCUUUAUUCAAUUUCCUCUCUUCCUUUAAAUCUUUUAUAACAUGAAGUAUCAAUUAUAUAUUUUUUUAUAUUCUUUUCAGUUACAACUUCAUGUAUGCAUCACUUAAUUAUGGAAUUUGAAAGAAUUCUUUAUCAUUAAAUUUUGAACACCAUUAUAUAAACAGACACAUCAUACGCAUGCACUAUCUUACUUUUCAUGUGACCAAAUUCAAACAUUAUAUUGUGCAAUGCCAAUGAAUAGAAGUUAACGCAAAGAUUUGGAUGAGGUCAAGGAACAAGGCUUUAACAAUCCAACACCCUUUGAAUACUUUUGCGAUAUGGACCUUGUAGUGUAGUUUUUCUCCAUGUCCUCUCUCACUUUUUCUAUUGAAGCACUUUGAAUUUAUAGCAAAAAGUAAUGAGAGUACUGGUCUAGAAAAAAAUUUAUUUAUGGAAGUUUUGCAUAAAAUUAGGAGGAGAUGAUUUUUUUUAAAACAAAAGGCAUGAAGUGGAGUGUAACUUAUAUUUGGAGGAAUGGAAAAAAGAAAUGAAAACAAACAAAGUGGAAAAGGAAAAAAAAAAGUUAAAAAUAAUACAAGAUAAGGAAAGGAAAGAUUUGAUAUACGUGUGUGUUUGUUUUUCUUCUUCUGUCCUCUCUCCCUUUUCAUUGAAGUACUUUAUAUUUAAAGAAAAAAUGAUGAGAAUGCUUUAGUAAAAAAACUGAUUUUAACGAAUUUUGCAUAAAAUUACAAGGAGAUUAAAUACAAAAUAUAAGUUGGGGAAUAACCGUGGAGGACCAAGCGGAAAGAGUGAAAACAAACUAAGUAGAAAAGGAAAAAAAGAAAAGAAAAAAUUACGAGAAAGGGAAAGCAAAGAAUAAUUAAUGUAAAAAAAAAAAAGAAAGAAUGAUUAAUGUAGUUUGUUCUAUGUAUAUAGUCGGCCAAAAUGGGAGGUUUCGGUUACUUGAAUUUUUUUUAUCUUUAAUUACUUCUUUAUUUAUUUAAUUUUUUAUAAAUAAAACAGAAUCCGGAAAGAAAAAGUUAUAUAAAAAAUUAAUUGUAGAAAAAAAUAUAUUUAUAUAUCAUAAUACAUUUUCACGACCCAAAAUCCAAAUAGCAGUUAUGGCACCUAACCUCACCCGCUAGAUAAGCCAAAUAACAACAAUUCGUUUCAAUUAAUAUUUAACUGACUCUAAUACACUCCCCAAGAACUGGUAGUACAAAUCAUGAGCUUCUAAGAUUCAGAAUUUACAAAGUUGGUGUGAAAUAAAAAUACGUCAUCUGUUGGAAAUAUACAUGAACUGAUUUUAAAAAAUCAAAAGCUACCUAGAACAAGAGGCAGUUGUGACUGGAUCGCAGGAACAUCUUCAACGCUAGCUCCCGCCAUGUACAACAGCAUCAAUAUCCAAAAUCUCCAUGCAAGGUGCAGAAGUGUAAUAUGAGUACAACCUACCCCAUGUACUCAAUAAGUAACAAACCUAACCUUAGGAUGAAAAUAGUGACGAACUGGAACAAGGGUCAGAGUCCACUCCAAUAACCAAUAACAGUUCAUAACAGUAUAAUUGUCUGUGUUAUAGUCAAACCAAUGGCAUGACGAACUGGAACAAGGGUCAGAGUCCACUCCAAUAACCAACAACAGUUCAUAACAGUAUAAUUGUCUGUGCUAUAGUCAAACCAAUGGUCUGUCUGUGCUCCCUCAAGUUAUAGUCAAACCAAUGGCAUGUAUGUGCUCCCUCAAGGUAUCCAAUAAGUGUUUAACCUGCACAUCAUUCAACAAAGAAGAAACAAUUAUGGGUAGAGUUUCAUUAGAGCCAAGAAAUUUAUAUCUUAAGUGCGGCAGUAGUGGCUUGAGCUCAAGUUGUGGUGGCUCAAUAAUUGAAGUCUUAGCGGGAGGAGUGACUCUAUUCUCCAAGUCAAGAGAAAGCUUCUUUGGUGCAUAAGUGUAGGACCCAAUCCCUUCCAAUGUAUUCACCAAUUCCACGUAGCCUUCCGUGUCCUCACCAUCAAAAUUUACCAAAAUAGCCGCCAAUGCAUCACCAAGGCAUUCCUCUUCCAUCUUCACCUCGACUGCAUCAGCUACUUCAUCAACAACAUCAAUGGCUGAGGUACUCUCGUAUGCAUGUGGCAAUUUUAUACCCUUACUAGCUUGAAAGGUAACUUCUUCGUCAUUAACUCGGAACUUGAUCUCAUUUUAUUCUGAGUCCAUGAGUGCCCUCCCGGUAGCAAGGAAAGGUCUCCCCAAGAUGAUAGGGAUCUCUUUAUCAACAAAACAAUAGAGAAUAACAAAGUCAGCAGGGAGGAGAAAUUUUUCCACUUUCACAAGCGCAUCAUCAACUAUUCCCACCGGCCGCUUUAUUGAACAGUCGAACAUUUGCAACCUCAUAUUUGUAGGCCUAGGAAUAUCUAAUCUCGCUUGAUUGUAAAUAUCAAAGGGAAUUAAGUUGAUGUUAUCCCAAUUAUCACAAAGGGAUCGUGCAGAGUCACGCAAUCCAAUAGUGCAUGAAAUGGUGAAGGCUCCCGGAUCCUCUUUCUUUGGACGGUGGUUGCUGCAAUGAUGGAACUAACCCGGUGAGCCACAUUCACCACUUCAUUCUUGGUGGUUUUCGCUUUAGUGAUCAAGUCUUUGAAGUACUUAGCAAAACCCGACAUCUCUUAAAAUGCUACAAAUGAAUUUUCAUUGAUAAUUGCUUUAGGAUGUCAUAGAACUUUUCGAGUUUGCUAUCAUCAACCUUUCAAGUUAGUCUUUGAGGGAAAGGACGAGGAGGUCUAGGAAUUGGUGCUAAAGUUUUUGGUGUCUCUAUUAUCGUUCGCUUAACCUCUUCAUGGUUCACUUCUUGAGUUCUCACCUUCUUCUGGAGUCUUUCAACUUCAACAACAUUUGGCACCUCAACUUGUGCCUCGACUUCUUGUUCAGAAUCUUCCACUUUGACCACUUGUUCAUUCUCUACUUGAAGUAGUUUCCCACUUCAAGUUGUGAUUUCCAUACAACGAGAAGUUAGACCACUCCCACUACUUUUAGUGUUUACAAUUGUAUCACUUGGAAGCGUGCCUUUUUGCUUCGAAUUUUGAUCUCUUGAGAGAUACCUCAUUUGCAUCUCCAACUUUUGAAUAGAUGCGGUGUGAGAACCCACGAGCUCGGUCAUAUUCUUCAUUGAAGUGUCAUAUCUCUCUUGAUUUUGCAAUACUCUUUCAAGCAUCUUUUCCAACUUGGACUAACUUGAAGAACUUUUCUUUAAAUGUGGAGAGUUAGAAUAUUGCCCCUUUGGUGGAACAUAUGGGUUUGAACUCCGAUUUGAAAAGUUAUUGUUAUUACUCAAAUUUCCUUGAUUUUAACUACAUUGGUCGUUUCGCCAUUGUUGGUUGCCUUGCCCUUGCGGGUUAGACCUCCAUUGGUGGUGGUGUCCUGAACCUUGGUAGGGUUGUCUUUGAUAUCCUCCUUGAGGAUUGUUGAUAUAAUUGUCUUCUUUGUAUUCCUCAUUUGACAUGGGUUGCACAUCUUCCAUAACAUUUACCUUUUUUGUUUGGCUUUCAGUGAACAUUUUCGUCAACACGUUGACAUUGUUGGCAAGCCUCGCAAUUACUUGAUCUUUUUCUUGGUUUUCCUUAAUCAUGUUAGUCAAGGAAGGAGUACCAUAUGCAAUUCCACACGUGGUGUCUUCUGAGUGCCAAGCUUGGUCAUGUUCUGUCAUCUUGUCGAGGAUUUGUGUGACCCUUGCAAAUGCUUUAUCCAUAAAGGAUCCAUUCGCUGCAUUUUUGGCUAUGGAUUGAUACAUAGGAUCCAAGCCCAUGUAAAACUUCUCCAACAAAAUAUUAUCUGGAAAGCCAUGAUUCGGCGACCUCACCAAAUAUAGCUUGAAUCUAUCCCAUGCCUCAUGUAGAUCCUCUCUCGGUAAUUGCUUGAAGAAGAAAAUUUUAUCCAGAAGCUCGGACUUCUUGCUUUGCGGAAACCAUUUUGCUAGGAAAGCUCGGACAAGCUCGGGCCAAGUAUAAAUGAAAUUAAAAGGUAGAUUUUGGAUCCACUGUCUUGUUUCUCCAGUUAGAGAACCCUCAACCUUAGGGAAUUAUCUGAGACAUGAUUCUGCUUGUGCAUUGCACACAUACCCAAAAAAUUUCUGAGAUAUUGUGUCGGAUCAUCGUCGAUGGAAUUUCGGAAGAACUCCUAUGCAUUUAGCAUAAGGAUUAGACUGUGUUCCACUUUGAAGGUAGCAACGUCAACUCCUGGAGGGACAAUGGCACUUGUAUCCUCAAUAUACUCAUCUAUAUCCGCAAACACAUUCUCUUCUUCCGGCUCUCCCAUGUUUAUCUAAUGGCACCAAGCAAAGCAAGCAAAGUGUGAUGGAAUAGAAGAAGACCCAAAGUAAAGCACACACUAGUUAGUAAUUUUAAAACCGUAUUCCCCGGUAACGGCGCCAAAAUUUGAUACGCUCAAAUUACACCUAUAUAAAUGGUGUAAGACGGUCGGUAUCAAAUAUAAUAACCCAACUAGGUUGGAGAAAAUCCCAUAGGGAAUAGGUGUGAAAAGGUUACUUGAAUAGUGUGAAACUUGGCUUAAGCCGUAGUUCUACUCCGUUAGUUUAAAAAGAGUUUUGUAAUUGUGAAUUAUCAAGAAAAGCUAUUUGUUUAAGAGAAUUUGAUUAAUUUAAUUAAGAAAUCAAGGUUGUGUCCCCAUCAAUAGAAUUUAAUGCUAUCGGUGUUAAUAUAAUAUAUUUCUAAUGAAAGGUCCUUUGAUAUGCAAAUAGUUCCUAAAUAACUACCAAAUAUUUUUCAAUAACUAGGUAGUAUUUCCUCUUUAUGAUUUUCUCAAAUAUAAAAGAGUUACAAUUAAUAGCAACUAAUUUAUGCCAAGUAGAACAUACUUAUCCCUAAGUGAUUCUAUUAAAUAGGGUUUAAAGCCUUGAGUUCUUGCUAUUCAAUUCUACCAAACUCUACCCCACUUUUUCAAGUAAAGAUAGAGUAAAAUGACACUAGUCAGUGUUUGCAACCAUCAACCAUAAAUGAAGCAUAAGAAAUGAAUAGAAAUCAACCAUUCAUUAUAUAUAUAUAUAUAUAUAUAUAUUAAAUGGUAAACACCAAUUAACAUUACACCCACUUAGGGUCCACAACCUUAGUAUUUAAAAUUAACUACUCAUACUAGAAUACAAGAACAAAAUAAUAAAUAAAGUCAUAAAGAUUACAAAGAGAAUAAAGUCUUUAAUUCUCUCUCAAAAGCUUCCAAAAUAAUGGUAUAUUCAAUGCUCUAAGUGUAGCCUCUUUUUCAGACAAGAUGGUCUACAAAAACUGUAAUCAUUCUCUUUAUAAUGAUUUAAAAGUCGUGGUAAAAAAAGUGACAAAAAUGACCAUGCAAAUCAUGUCUGCGACCGCAGAAUGGGUCGUAGAACGCUUUCACGGUCCGCACAUCUUCAUUUUUCACUGCAAAAUUGCUCACAAAGUUUUCGAGUUUUUUAUCGCAUUAUGGUUAUGCGGUCCACAUAUUGGUUUCGUGACCGCAUAACGUACCGCAAAGUCAUCUUCACUGGAACUCCUUUUGCAUUUGUGCGAUCACUAUGCGGUUCACAUAAGAAUUAUGCGACCGCACGAUGGAUCGCAGACUUGACUCUCAAAAACUAGGAUGUUCUACUUCAUUCUGCGAUGGGUCCGCGGUCCGCACAUCACUUUUGUGGUCGCAGACCCGCCGCAUUUCUACCUUUCCAUGGGUCUUUGUCAUAUUUUUUAUGUUCUUGGCUCUUCAAGUUUGGUUUCCUGCAAAACACCCAAACUACAUAAGAAAUGACUUAUAAUACUUUAAAAGAUGAGCUAAAUUCUAUGUAAGAAUCAAAAUUGCCGCAUUUCUACGGCACAUCACCUAGCAAACUAUUUGACAAUACGGAUAACAUAUCUAAUAAGUUCUUCGAUAUGGUGGUGCCUUUGGAUAAUCAAUUGGUGUUGCAACAAGCUAGAGGAUGCGCUUUGUGCCAAUGAGAAUUUAAUGACGUAUGCUAUAAAGACCAGAGCCUAUGCAACAAAGCACUUUUUCUUUUAUGUUCAAGCAAAUAUUUUUGUGUAUGAUUUCUUUAGUUUUUAGUCGAGGUAUAUAACUUUCUUGCCAUCUCGAAAGUACGGAUCAUCAUAAGACAUCAAGAACUUAUACUUCUUUCUUAAAUUUUUAUCACUAAAAAAUAAUUUUUAAAAUAAUAUUGAUACAAUAUUUUAAAAAAUUUAUAUUCAUUAUAUGGAUACACGCGCAAUUUGCUUACCUAAUCGCUUUAAACACAUUGCAUAUAUAAAUUGAAUGUGCAACUACUCAUUUAUCUCGUGAUUACAAGUGCACAUCUUUUCAUGUGUCUUAUGAUGCUUUUUGUUACGUUUAGUCACUCUCGUUACUUUUCUUACGCACAUAUACAUAUAUGUCAUCGUGUGUCAGAAACAUAUCAAACACUUCGCAUUUUGCAUAUAUAUGCAUUUUCAUAAUUCUAAUUAUGCUAAUGUAUGAAAUAAGGUAGCCAUUACUAGACAAUUCUUUUCAUACCCAAAAAAAUAAAAACUUACGAGGGCGUUUUGAAGACAUAUUUGUUUAUGCAAUGAUCUCUCCAAUUGGUUCUUGCAAUAUCUCAAGUCUCAAAAACUAGUUAGGAGUGAAUUCAUGUCUUUCGUCAUGAACUCAGAAUCACCACAAUUUAUUUGAUAAAAUUAGUUUAAUCAAAACAUCAUCCGUGAUAGAGGUGGAGUCAGAAUUUACAGCUUAUGGGCUCAGGCCAGUCUAUUUAAAUUAAUUAUUGGGUUCUAAGUUAAUAGUUUUUCCAUAUACAAUAAAUUUAUUAAGAUAAAUAUUGAGUUUGGACCAAAAUUUACUGAGUUCGACCAAACCCAUAUUACGCAUUCUAGCUCUGCCCGGCCGGUGAAUAACAAAUCAAAUAAAUAAAGCAAGAUAAAAUACCUCGGUACACGUGUUUUUAAACAAAAGAGUUGUAAUUUAUGGAUGAAAAAUAUUCUAGCGACAAUUAAUCAAUAUAUAUAACUUAAAUUCUUAAAAUUAUAUAACAUAAAUUUCAACAAUGCACUUCAAAAUAUAGAAUGUUUGGCCUUCAAAAAAUUUGUAAAGAUAAAAGAAAUAUUAAUUAACAUCCAUCCAACCAAACUUUUGAUUGCAAGUUGCUUCCUCAAUAAUAAUCCGUUUGCAUGUGUAAACAUACAUUGAGAGUGUUACGUUACCGAGUAGCAUCAGAAUUAAGGCUUUCUUUAAGAUACGAUGAAAUAAUAGGAAAUUUAGUGUUAAUUUUGGAUAUUUGUAAUUAUAUCAAUUGUACAUGAAAUUACAUGAAAUAGUAAAAAUAUUAAUUAUAAUCCACGUCGUAUUUCCCUUAAUUAAAACAUAUAAUUCUUGUCAAGUACUAUGUACAAUUCACAAAAAAUUUCAUAAGCUACGUAGCUCAAAUCUGCCAGGAGAAGAAACUCCAUAAUUUGAUCUUCUCUAAUUACGACUAAUAAUUAUGAUCUUAUCUAGUUUUACCUUGACUACUGACUAGUGUUAAUUUUGGAUAUCAAUAAUUAUAUCAAAUGUAAAUGAAAUUACCUGAAAUAGUAAAAAUAUUUAUCAGAAUCGCGCAUAUUUCUCUUAAUUAGUAAAACAUAUAAUUCUCGUCAAUUCAUAUAUAUUACCUAAGAUUAAUUCCUUUUUUUUUUUGGUACAUUGAAAAAGAUAUGUACAAUUCACAAAAUUUUCAUAAGCUACAUGUAUAGCUCAGAUUUGCCAUGAGAAAAAACUCCAUAAUUGCAAUCUUCUCUAAUUACAACUAAUAAUUGUAAUCUUAUCUAAUUUUACCUUGACCACUGAAUUCUCCUAUAAAUAAGACCUACACUAGUUAGUAUAAAUCACUCUUCUAUCAAUUUCUUCAUAAAAGAAAAAUGGCUUUGAAAUUCACCUCCUUUCCCUUUACAAUAUUCAUAAUUCUAGUAAUUGCUUCUACUUUCUUCCAUAUUUCCUCAGCAAAAGGUGGAUUGAAACGUGAAUUCUUUAUUGGUCUGACAAUAAAGGAUCCUAAAGUGGUGGAAAUUGCAAAUUUUGCUAUAAACGAGUUCAACAAAAAAGCAGGACAUAACUAUAUACUUAAACAAGUGGAUGGAGUAGAAACUGUUACUUUUACUAGUGGUACGAAUUAUGAGUUAUUUAUCACUGUUAAUGAAUGGGAUACAAUCUCUGGCGGCCAUGUUGCGGUUGUUUUCGUUGGUUCCAACAAUUUCAAGAAACUUAUUUCCUUUGAUGGAAAGUUCUCUUCUAUUAAAAAUUAAGUGUAUGAAUCCUCCAGAAUUACACGAAAAGUAUAUAUAUGAAAUGAAAUAAACCAUUCGAAUUAAACAUGGUUUUGUCUAUCAUAUAUAUGUUUUGUCUCGCAUUAUUAUUGAUAUGUUUGGUUGUACUAUUAAACAUGGUUGAAAAUUUCACUUUUUAGAUGAUCACAAAAAUUAUGCAAAAUUUACGUCUCAACUAUAUAAUGAUGGCUCCUUGACCGGACCUAUUGAUCCAGGAGCUCGAAAAUGGAGCAAAAAAUAAGAUGAGUUAGAGAACAGAUGUUAGUCAAUUUUGAUCCUGCUAGGGAAAAGAAGCAGACUCUUACUCGACGUAGGAUAGAGUAACUAUUUUUAAAGUCUAGCCUUUUUUUCCAAGACAAGCAUUCUAACCAAAUAACUAUAGAUCUUGUGCGUAUUACAAAGGCAUCUGUUUAUUUAUUUCUUUAUACACCAAAUGUCCUAGUCGUCAUAUUUUGAGAAUUAUGAAAUGUUUAUUUUCUUGCUAAUCCACCCUUUUUCUUUGAAAAAAAAAAAGACUAACUAGACAUUUCCUAUGUACUAAACAUCCAUUCAAGAGUGUGUUUGGUAUAACAUUUUUAAAAAUAUUUUUAAAUUUCUAAUGUUUGGUUGCCUAAAAAUGCUUGAAAAAAAUACUACAACAACAACAACAAACUUAGUGUAAUUCACAAGUGGGAUAUGGGGAGAGUAAUGUGUAUGCAAAUUUUACCCCUACCUUGUAAAAGUAGAGAGAUUGUUUUCGAUAUACCUUCGACUUUAAAAAAAUGCUUGAAAAAAUACUUUUUCUAAAAUAAUAUGUUCCUUAGAAAGUUGGACACAUUACCGUGCUAAUAUAAAAGCACCAAAAUCCUUGCUAACUUACUGGCAGUGUGCAAUCCUGACGUUACUGGUUUGUAUGUUUCGUAGUGAUCUUUUUGCUUUGCGAAUCACUUGCUGCUAAUUUCCUUCAUUGUCCCCGGCUUUGAUAUGAAGCUACAUACGCCCCGGCUUUAAUAUGAAACUAACUUUAUAAAAUAUAAUAAAUCUUAUUAUUCUUGAGUGGGAAGUCUAUUUUACAAACUACUAGUAAAUUUUAGUACUUGUAAAAGAAAUAUCUACGUCUAAAUACCCAAAAGUGUACUAAUUCAGAAUCUCUCCUCAGUCACCUUUUACCCUCAAGUAUAUUUUCAUUAAAAAAAAAAAUCUCUAUAUUGUAUACGGUCGAAAUAGAUUUCGGUUUUCGUACGAUCGGUCGAGGUCAAAACGUAAUAGAUCGGAGUAAGACUUCAAAAUGGGUUCCGAAAAUAGUAUAAACAACCUUCGAGCCCGAUGGACCGAUCAAUGUCGAGCUCGAAUACAAAUCGAGUUAUGAUUCAAAGUAAAGUUAUCGAGCUUAUGAUUCAGAAGACCGACCAAUCCUGACCCCGAACCAAUGUAAGGAUCCGAGUCAGAAUCGAGCUCAAGUCAAGAUCGAGAGCUCGAGUCGAGACCGAAAACUCGAGUCAAUAUCGAGCUUACAGACAAGAGCCGUUGCAAUUCCACUAGAGGAGAGAAUCCUGAGAGGAAUUAUGAAAAAGUUGAUUUAUCAUGGGUCUCCCACUAAGUAUUUUUAAUUAUAUCUAAAGUAAGGUUCAUCUACUAUAAAGGGAUGGUUAUUAUUUCUGUAAGGCAAGUUUUUGUUUACAUUGUAAUUCAAGCACCAUAUUCUCAUAUAGAGAAGAGUUGUUCUUCUAAGCUUCAUAAAUUGGUUCAACCAGUUCAUUUCUAAAAAUCAUCUACUUUACAACCGUGUUUACUUUGUACUCUUUGCAAUCCAUAUUUGAUAUUUCUAUUUAUCCUUACGGUUUGUAUUAAGCUAUACCACAUAUCCUUAAAACUACGUACAAAUUUAACUUUAUCCGUUUUUCGGGUAAAACAUAUACCAAACCCAUUAUUUCUUGUAAUCGGAGCAGAUAAACGGUAAGAAAGUCAUAUAUGAAGCUACAAAUAGAGUACUAUUACUUUCAAACGUGCACGCAGAGGAAAAAAACUUUGCAUAAUAAUUUUGAUAUUAUUAUAAUCUGACACGACGACUAUAUAGUUUAUUUAUCGCAAUUUGAUUAGGGGUCUUUUCGGUAUUCCAUAAAAGAAAAUAAAAAGAACUCCGACUGUAUAUAGUUUCUCACUCCCUCCUCCUAACUUCAAUUCCCUUCAUCUUCCUCGUGCUAUCGCCGAAGGGUUAACACUGUUCCUCACCAGUAAUUCCAAUUCAUGCUUCUCAAUUCUCUCUUCUUUAUUACAGAUCCAUAGUUCAAUUUCUCCCUCUUUGCGCUGUUGUGUUCACAGCUCUCGAAACACAUCAGCUCCAAUGACGGCAGAAACAAAGCGUGAAUUUGACAUUUUUUCAUCGGCGGCCGAACCGCUGUCUCAAUCUCGGGUCUCGGAACCCGGUGAUCCGAACCGCGAUAGGCCGGAUGAAUGCAAACCGGAAUUGACCGGUUCGGUUUCCGGCGUUCGGUUCGAGAAAGCUCAGGUUAGGACUAGUGAUAGUAAUGGUAUUGUUGUGUACAGGAGGAACAAGAGGCAGAAGACGGCAGAUUCAACAAACGGCAAUUCAAGUGGCAAAGUCGUAAAUAUGGAUGAAGCCGAGGGUAAUUCAGGAAUUCAUGCGUUAGACAGUGACGUCAUGGAAGUUGAAGUCAAGGAAGAGUCAAGGAUUAGGCGGUUCACACGGUCAGCUUUGGAACUGAAGAAGAUGGGGAAAAUUCCAAAUGGAAAAUCUGAAGGUGAAGUUGAGGAGAGAAGUUGUGGUGUAAACACGUCCGGGAAGAAACUAGAAAUGAAAAUGUCGAAGAAGAUUUCGAUAACGGGAAGGCCUACAACGGUUAGGGAGCUAUUCGAGACUGGUUUGCUGGAAGGAUAUCCUGUUUUUUACAAUGGUGGGAAGAAGGUAUCAUUCUCUCACAAUGUCGUCCACAUUCCCCUGUUCCCUUAAUAUUAGGUUCUUGUUACGGUGCAAAUAUAUUUAAAAACCGGUUUACUUGUUAGGUAAUAAUAAAUAAUUAUAUGUAAUCUCCUGAUGUGCAUUAACUAGUGAUCUAGGCAAAAUGGUACGUAACCUGCUCAGAUUAAAAUUCAUUAAUAGUGUAAAAAAUCUUGACACUAUAUAUAACCUAAAAUCUCUUAAAUUAACCCGGGGCAAGAUAUUGGAGAAUAGCAUUAGAGGCAGUUAUCUCUUUUUAUGUAGAUAAAGUUGCCCUCAAUUAUACUAUACUUAUUAGUUAAAAAAAAAAGAGUUACCUGUCGAUUAUGAAAAAUAAUCCAAUCAGUUCGAAAUGUUAAAGCAGAAUAAAAGGGGGUACGAUCUCAAUAUGUAUGUCUAGAAAAAAAUUGCGUUAAUCAUUAUGGUCUUACAGAAAGACAGACGUAGAGCUGUGCAUAAUUUGGUAAAUACCGAAUUACCAUACCGAAAUCGAAAAUUUUGGUAUUUGGUAUUCUAUAAUUUGGUAUUCGGUAUGGUAUUUGGUUUAAGUUUUAAAAAAUAUUGGUAUUAGGUAUGUUAUUUGGUAUUUUAAAAUGAAAUACCGAAAUACCGAUACCGUACCGAAAUAUAUAUUAUAUUACACAAUAAGCAUAUUAUUAAUUAUAACAUAAAUAUAAAAAUCUAAAAUUUUAACUUUCCUUUAUUCUCUAAGUUUAUCAAUUAACUCUAAGCAAGUAACAAAACAUUUUUAAUGAUCAAAUUUAUUCUUUUAUGUACAGUUUUCUCUCUCUGGGUUGAUAUUUGCUAGUUUUGGACAAAACUUUUGUUGCAAAUGUUUUUAGUUUUGUACUUUUGAGUACUUUAAUUUAGAAUAUUACAGGCUAUGACUGUAUGCACUAGUUAGUAUUCAAGCCGAAUAAACCGAAGUUACCAAACCAAAUAAACCGAAACCGAAAGGAUAAAAACCGAACCAUACCGAAUUUAAUUAGGUACGGUAUUGGUAUUGCAUUUUAAGAAACCGAAUACCGAAAAUACCGAACCGAAAUGUCUAAAUACCGUACCGUAUCGACCGACGAACACCCCUAGAAAGACGAGUACUUAAAUAUCCUAACACCACAAAAGCCUAGGGGUAGGUAAGUUUGACUAAAGUUACUAGAAAUGCGUUUGGAUACCCUUCUUUUUUUGAUUGGGUUUGACUUCAACUUUCCCAGAGCCCACCGUGCUCAAAGGGGGAGACUGGGUGUAUGCAUAAAUUUCUACUAGCAACAUUCAUGCUAAAUUUUUAAAACCAUUAUUUUUUUAACGACAGUAGGGCUAAAACUAUAUCGUGUAAAUUGCUGUUGAUCCGCUUCCAGCUUCUUUUCCUUAAAUGUGCUUAUGACUUGUGUCCAUUUCUUGCUGCAAGACCUUUUAAUGCUUUGAUGAAUUCAGUGGUUUUGUCUUUAUCUUAUGAUAAAUAUUGUCUUAAUUUUAGGGAAUUCCACUCCGAGGAACAAUUAAAGAUACCGGAAUUCUUUGUUCCUGUGAUCUGUGCAAUGGAACUAGAGUGAGUAUUGAAGUUUUUCUAUUUCUCUUGCUUCCCUUUUAUCACACUUUAGUUGUCAUUAUAAACAGUUGUCUUAACUGAGUGCAUACUCUACAUUCUGUAUCACUUUUGUAAUGUUAGGUUGUCCCUCCUAGCAAAUUUGAGAUCCAUGCAUGUAAUUCAUACAGACGUGCAUCAGAGUAUAUUUGUCUGGAAAAUGGCAAGAGCCUACUCGACGUGGUCAAAGAGUGUAAGAAAGGUUCCUUGAAGACAUUAGAAGAAACAAUUCAGAGUGUCAUUGGUCCAGUUCCUGUGAAGAAAAAUCUCAUUUGUCGGAAUUGCAAGGGUGAGCUUGCUCAUGUGAACUUGAAUACAGUUACAUGUUUCUUUACAAGUGUAAUUAGAAGAUAUGUGGUUACUGUUGUGGCUAGGGUCUUUUGUUGCAACACUAGCUGGAAAAGAUGAACCACUUUGUGAUUCAUGCAUAAUUUCUCUAAGAUCAGAAGCCACUCCAACACAGUCGAUAAACACUGAAAAUGGGUAUGUUUUUUUUUAAAAGUCGCCUCAUGAUCUUAUCACUUUUGUUUGCUCCUUUUUUCUUUUGUCCACUAGUGGAGCCUGAUUCUUACGAUUAGUUGAGCACCAAUUUAGAUUUUUCUGAUUUUACGGGAUUCAGGCAAAAGGCUUAAAAGUUGGAACGGGAAGAUAUUAUGUGUUAGAUCUACUAUGUGUCACUAUAGUACUAUUGUGCUAUAUACCUAGCAUGGCUCACUGUUUUGAUAGUUCCUCCUUCCCAAAUUUCUUUGUCAGUAUAACCACAUAAAAUUUGACAUGAAAUGAAACAAAAGAGCAUAAUAGAAGGGGUAAGCAAUUCCUGAUAUAAAAAAAAUAGAACGGGCAAGCAGUUUUUUUCGAAUAACAAAGUGGAUCAACUUAAACGGGUAGAAUUUUUUAUGUAAGACUUAGAGAGGAAAAAGAUAUAGGUUGAGUCAAAGUAAUCAGAACAAUGGACAAACAGUUCAAUAAGACAAGAAUAUACAAUCACUUGUAGUGUUUUUUUUUUUUGAUGAAGUAAGGUAUUGCAUUAUAGGCAUCAAGAAGAUGCAAUAGGCUACAAUAGAAAACUUGGUUAACUCUUUAUACAAAAAACUAUUCUAGAGCAGGGAGUUAACCAAGAGCAAAAGGCAAUGGCUACUAAACCAUUGAGAGAGAGCUAAUGAAAUCUAAGAGGGGAAUAAUAUCAUUUACUGGGGAAAGGUUACUCCAGCUGAAAAGACUCAUCAAACAUUUAGACUUCAGGUUACAGUUGGAAGUUGAAAUGCCAUCAAAACAUCUACGAUUCCUCUCUGUCCAGAUAUGCCAGAAAAUACAUGCUGGGAUCAUUUGCCAGAUCUUCUUGAUGGAUCUAUCAACUUCCCAGAGGCUCCAGCUAACAAUCAAUUGUAGUGUUUGUAGCAAGUGGGUAUCCAAAAAUUGUGUUGAAGAAGCAAGGCCUCACUUACUUAUACGUUGUAUCAAAUAGAUGAUUCCUUAUUCUCUCAACAAAUCAAGACAUCACUUAUUUAUAGGUUAUAUCAAAUAGUAAAAGAAUCUAUAGUUUGUUGUUUCUAUUGAAGGGUCUAGAUCCAUGAUGUUAAGAAAUGGACAUUAAGCCUAACUCAACUCUGAAACCUAGUUCAUAAGUGAGGAUUGCCAAGACCAUAUAAGGAGACAACAACUUAUUCCCUCUACCAAUAUGGGACGCUUAACACCCCUGCACGCGACAUCUGGCGCGUGAACAAUAGAAUGUGGAGGCCCUGUAUUUGGUAACCAAGAAUAUGGAUUGAUCCGACGCUGAUACCAUGUUAUGAAAAUGUAACAUGGUACAUUCAGAGAUUUUAGGUUCAAGGCUAACUGCUGCCCAUUAUCAAAAAGAAUUUUUGUGCUUUGCCCAUUGAAAAAAUAAGCCCCACCACGUAAGGAGGUGUGUUGACAACAUAAUUAAACAAAUAGAAGUGUACUCCCUCCUUAAGCUUUUAGAUGAGAUGGUCACACACCUCAACAACACAUGAAAUUGUGUAUUGCUGAAAAUUAUGACAAGUUUUUAAGGAAUGAAAAUUGACAUGAGGUAACACACUGUUGGGAUAGUCGAUAUGCGCCACAAGCUGGCAUGGACUCCACAGUUAUCCCUAAAAAGGGAUAAAAGGAGGACACAUGAUUGUUCAAGGAAGUGACAGAGAGAACCAUAAUACUGGCAGCUGGUCACAGGUUGAUCAGAUAGAAUUUUAGCAAUAAACAGAGGAUGUAAGUGGUUGAGGACACAAUGCUUAUCAUGGAUUUAAACCUUCUAUGAUGACACUAAGCAGAGGAUCUGAUUAGCCCAGUGUUAUCAAAGGCGAAAGCGCACAAAAGCUCUAAGGUCCAUUGAGGCUUAAGCGCAAAUAAAGCGUGGGCUUUAAUGGAAAAAGGCGCAACUGCAGAAAAGGUAAAAAUAUAUAUAUGUAAUCCAAGACCAAUAAUUAUAAGCAUGAAUAACACAUAUGCAGACAAAAAAAUUGAAAAAGAAUUACGAUAAAAUGAAAUAUCAAUUAUUUAGUGUCGUCUUUUCAAGAUUACAUUCAUUGGCAAGGAAAAGUAUGCCUUAGAGCCUUGAUGCGAUACUGAAGCGGCCCCAAAGCGAGGUAACACGCUCAACAUGUUUUGGGCCUCGCUUCAGGGCUUAAGCGCGCCUUUGACAACACUCGAUUAGCCUCCUAUCCUGUUCUGUUAAUUUUUCUUUUGAGAAUGUCAUGUCCAGUUCUGUUAUUGUUGAGAUCUUUCUAUGGGUUGACUGUUGGUUUCUCUAUUUAAUUAACUAGUAAUGCAUGUAUCCUUUCGAAGAGAUGGUUGUCUGACAAACUUAUUGUUUUUUUCCCCAUAGUUCAGUCUUUCUUUUUUGUUAUAGUGGUCAUUCUUAAUCUUGCUUUUUUUUUUUGUAACAAAUUUAGGUCGUGUGAGCCGGUUCUGAGCUUAAACUCCUCCGGAACUUCAAAUGUGUCACCUAUUUCGCUAAAAAGUACUAGAGGAAGAAAAAAGAGAAAGUAGGUAUCAAUAUAGUUAAUUGAUUCUGCUUAUUUUUGGUGCUUGUUGAACUUUUGUUCAAUGUGAGUAAAGUGGGUUCAUGAACAUGUGCUAAUGCUAUUUUAUUUGCAUAUUAAGGGCCAUGGUGAUGCAUUUAAGUAGAGUCUCUCCUUCAGUGCAUACUCUCUCCAGAAAGAAGAGGAAGACACCAAAUAAGUGUGUUAUUGCCCUUAAUGUUUUCUGUUUAAUUUUUUUCUUUAACAAAGUUAGUGAAAAUGUAGCCUUUUGUCAUCUUUCUCUUCUGACCUCUUUUUAUUUGGACCGUCAAGGUUAACGCAGCCAGUUGUGGCUACGAAGUCGGCUGGAACUGCUACUGUAUGCAGUUCAUUCGGAAACAACAUGCAGGACAAUAUCUCAAAAAAGUUGGUGGAUAUUACUCAACUUGUCAUUAGAACUUUUAUCUGAGAAACUACUGCUAACUCAUAUGGUGCCUCUUAUUGUUCAAGUCAGAUUGUCAAAAUCAAUUGCAGUUUCGAAGUACUCAAAAAUUGUUUUGCCUGGUGUCUCAGUACACUCUAGGACCCAAUGGAAAAUGACAAAAAGGUUGGCAUUUUUCUUUUGAAUUACUCUUGUUAAUUGUGGAUUCUUCUGAUAGCGAUGUCACUUAUAGUGCUUGGUUCUGUGAUGUCACUUUGUUCAGGGAUCAAAAGAUGCAUAAAUUGGUUUUUGAUGAAGGUGGACUGCCUGAUGGGACUGAAGUAGCUUAUUAUUCUCGUGGAAAGGUUGCUGAGCAUCUCCUUUACGGCUGUUUUAUAUAGUUGUUGAUCCAUUGUAAACAAUGGAUGUUUGCUCUUUUUAUUUUCUUAAUGUUAUUUGCUUAUUUAUAACUGGCAGAAAUUACUUGUUGGUUAUAAGAAGGGAUGUGGUAUAUUCUGCUCUUGCUGCAAUACUGAGGUACAACUCUUGGAGACUGCUUAAGGUCUUCCCAAUUGUCCUGCAAGAUAUUCUGAUGGCAUUUCAUUUUUAUGGUUAGGUUAGUCCAUCUCAGUUUGAAGCUCAUGCAGGUUGGGCAUCACGCAAGAAACCGUUAGUCUUCAUCGUUCUUGUUAUCUGUCGUUCAAAGAAUUUAUAUCACUAGUGACAGUAAGCGAACCUAAUUCUGCUGACGCGAUUCUAACUUGGGUACUUAUCUUUGUCAAUGUCUGCUGCAGUUAUGGGUACAUUUACACGUCUAAUGGAGUAUCUCUACAUGAAUUUGCUAUAUCUCUAUUAAAAGGCCGCAAGUCUUCAGUUAAAGACAGUGAUGACUUGUGCAUCAUAUGCGCAGAUGGUGGAAAACUUGUGCUUUGUGAUGGAUGUCCUAGGGCUUUCCAUAAAGGUGAAAGUUGGAUGUUUUUCUUGAUUGACAAUUCUCAAUAUUUUACAAGACUUCCUAUUCUAAAAAAUUAUAUUUUACAAGUCUUUCUUCUUCUCUCCUACACCCCCCCCCCCCCGGGUGAUUGAUGAUUGGGUUCAUCAUGUUCUGUUGAUUAUCCAUCCAUUGUGUUGCUUUCCUUUCUACCCUUUCUUGGGGUUUCUAUGUGAGGGUGGUUGUGCUGACAGGAGGUAAGAUAGGACUCUAAGUGAAUAAGAACUUGAUUUUCAGGAUGGGGGCAUUGGGUGAGUUCAGGAAAUAGCUCAUCAUUUGUGAAUUUAUUAACUGCAGUUUAAUUGACUAUUGGUAUUUGUAACGGUGUGUAAUUCUAUUUUCAAUCUGUUAUAUACACUUAUAUGAAACUGUUAGUGACGUGAAGCCUGUGGGCUGCCACAUCUUAACUGAGAAGUUUCAAAAGUUGGGGUUCUAUCUGUGAUGAAGUUUCCGUUGAUAAGAACUGGAUUCUUCUUGUGGCUAAUUUUUAUUCUGAGGCUCAUAUAUUUGUAUGUAGAUACCCACUUACCCUAGUUGCAGUAGACUUGCUAUACCGUUUAAGAUUUAAGAAAUAGCAUCUUCGCUCUGAAAUUUCUACUUGGUAUAGCUCUUUAUCAGUUGGCCAUUGCAUUUUUAAUGGGGAUUGCUAGCUACUGAAUUUGGAUAUUGUACUUGCUUAUUAUUGAGGUUGCAUCCAUAGCUAUAUUUUCUUGAAAAUAGGUGUAGCUUAACUAAAGAAGUUCUAGAGAAUACAAGUGCAUAAGAGCUUGGGAAUUGAUGCAGAGUUAGUUCAUUAAUUAGUCAAAGCUCUGAAAUCCUCGAAUGACCAAUCACCUUCACUUCGGAGCAGCUACGCCUCCUCUCACCCCCACCAAUUUAAAAAUGAAAAAAGAGCACACCCAAAGGAAAAAAUCAGUAUCAGGCUUAAGGUAUGGUGGGACGUUAAUCAUGUUCCACAUCCUUAACCCCGGCGGUCUUUCCGCACUUAUCUUAUCUUUUAGGUGAGGGUUUAGUGAGUCAGUGCAGUAUUAAGGAUUAGUUAAGUGACACUCAAGGGUAUGUCCUAGUGGUUAAUAAAGUGGAUGCAAAUCUUGGAGAGCAAGGUUCGAAUUCCUGCAGAAAUGGGAAACGUUAAGCGAUCUCUUUCCAGCUGUCUAACCCUUGGUGAGAAGAGUUACUUAGUACUUGUGCUAGUGGGAGGUAGCAGGAAUCCGGUGGAAUAAUCGAGGUGCGUCCAAGCUAGCCCAACACCACCAUUAUUAGAAAAAGUGGGCUGAGUUUAGUUGACUGUCGGUGAGCAUGUACAUAACAAUUUAUUGAUUUUGACCGGGCCUUUAAAUGAGAACCACUACAGUCUCUGAACCUGUUGAAUAGGUGUCACGACCUGAAAUUUCCCACCGACGGGACCGUGAUGGCGCCUAACAUUUCACUUGCUAGGCAAGCCAACGUUAGAGAAUCAUUAACCAAUUCCUUAUUUACAUUCAGUAAUCAACAAUAAUUAACUAAGAUGAAAUAUAAUAAGUGCGAAAUAUUAUAAAUCUGUAUUAAUUACUACCACCCGGAUCUGGAGUCACAAUUCAUGAGCAUUCUAGAAUUUGCUACAAGUAAUAGUCAGAAAGAAAUACAAUUGUCUGAAUGAAAGAAACAGUAGAACAAAAAAGAUAGACGAGGACUUCAAGGUCUGUGAACGCCGACAGAUCUACCUUGAGUCUCCGGACAACGGACCAAUAGCAGAAUCUCGAUCAACCCGAGCCGGUAUCAAAAUCUGCACAGAAAGUGCAGAGUGUAGUAUCAGUACAACCGACCCCAUGUAUUGGUAAGUGUCGAGCCUAACCUCGACGAAGUAGUGACGAGGCUAAGGCAAGGCACCUACAAAUUAACCUGUACCAUUUAACAGUGUAUAUUCAAAUAACAGAAAUGAAGAACUAAACAGGAAAUGUNNNNNNNNNNNNNNNNNNNNAAUGCACGGCAUCACCCUUCGUGCUUUUACUCUCAAUCUCACCAUAAAAAUCAAUAGAAACGGCACGACAUCACCCUUCGUGCAUUAACUCUCAUAUCAUGGCACGGCAUCACCCUUCGUGCAUUAACACUCACAAUAUGGCACGACAUCACCCUUCGUGCAUUAACACUCUCCCUUACCAUAAUGCAAUGCAUAACUAUCAACAGGGAGAUAGAAUAACAAGUACAAACUUUACCUCAACAUUUGGUUCCAUAACAUCAGUCUCAACUUUGAAAUAAAAACUCAAUUAUAACCAGAAAAUCCGUAAACAUGAUAAGAACGAUAAAUUGAACAACACUAGUAUAAUACAUCGCAAUUAGGCAUAGGAUUGAGACAAUAUAAGAAAAACUGAGAAAACAUGGAAAACAGGUAAAUUGGCGGCGCAUAAGUACUCGUCACCUCGCGCUCACAUGAAUUUCACUUAGCAAGUAAUCUAAGGUUCCUAAUUCCCUCAAGUCAGGGUUAGACACAACACUUACCUUGCUCCGAAAGCCACUUAAUUCUCAACCACAACUUUUCCUUUGGAAUUCACCUCCAAACCACUCGUAUCUAUUCAAAAAUGACUCAAUAAUAUCAAAUUUUGCUAAAGGAAUCAAUUGCAUUGCAUAAAUUUAGAUUUCCUAAAUUUUCCUCCAAAAAGUCAAAAAUCGACCCCGGGCCCGCUUGGUCAAAACCCGAGGUUCGGACCAAAUUCCAUUUACCCAUUCACCCCCGAGCCCGAAUAUAUAAUAGGUUUUGGAAUUCGACCUCAAAAUUCCCAAAUUUUCGAAAACCCUACUUUCUACCCAAAACCCCUAAUUCUACCAUGAAAACCUUAGAUUUUAGGUUGAAAUCUUGUAAAAUAUAGUGAAAGAUUGAAAGAAACCAGUUUAGAAUCACUUACCUAUGAUUUGGGGAAGAGAUGGUCUUUGGAAAAUCGCCUCUUGUCUUUUAGGUCCUUAAAAUUUGGGAAAUGAAUGAAAAUUCCCGUCCAAAAGCCAUUUUGUUCGGCUGCAGACGUCGCAUUUGCGACCUGAGCUUGCAAAUGCGAAGGAGUCAUCGCAAAUGCGAAGCCCUUCACACUUCUGCUAGCCUUUGCAAAUGCGAAGAUAAGUUCGCAAAUGCGAACCUUGAAUCUUCGCAAAUGCGACUAAAUGAUCGCAUUUGGCGACUAAAUGAUCGCAUUUGCGAUCACUGCCCUUCCCCGACUCCCUUCGCAAAUGCGAAAAUUAUUGGCCCGGCUUCUCUUCGCAUUUGCGAUGAGAAGCUCGCAAAUGCGAACCUCUCAGAGGUCGCAAUUGCGAUGCCUGAUUGCGAGAUCAGAGGCCUGCAAUAUCAGAUGCACCAACAGUGUUUUCCAAGCCAAAUCUCACUCCGUAGCCUAUCCGAAACUCACCCGAGCCCUCGGGGCUCCAAACCAAACAUGCAUGCAAGUCUAAAAACAUCAUACGAAUUUGCUCGCGCGAUCAAAUCGCCAAAAUAACACCUAGAACUACGAAUUUAGUACCAAAUCAGAUGAAAUUCUCAAGAACAAUUUAAAAUUUCUAUUUUCUCAACUGGACGUCCGAAUUCAAUCCCGGGCAUACGCCCAGGUCCCAUAAUUCGAUGCGGACCUACCAGGACUGUCAAAAUACGGAUCCGGGCCCGUUUACCAAAAAUGUUGAUCGAAAUCAACUAAAAUCAACUUUUAAGGCAAAAAUUCAUAUUUUCAUUAAUUUUCAACAUAAAAGCUUUCCGGAAACCUGCCCGGACUGCGCACGCAAAUCGAGGAGGGUAAAAAUGAGAUUUUAAAGGCUUAAGAACGCAGAUUCGAGUUCUAAAACAUAAGAUGACCCUUUUGGGUCAUCACAAUAGGAAGAUCUCGAAACAUGCUGAACCAGCGCCCAGUUGAUUAACUUGAACUUCAUAAAAUCUUGUAUCCGUCGUCUUUGCUUAGUCCGGUUUUCCUUAUGGGCUGUGUUCAGUUGUGUAAGUUAUUAAAUAUUAAAAAAGGAAUACAUGUAAGGCAGAGGUUGACUAUGCCUCCUCAGGCUUGGUGUUCCAGGUAACACAAGAAAUUGGAGCUGCGUGGAGCUCUUUUUCUUUCAGCAUCCCUCAAUAAAAUCUGUUUGUCUUUAAAUCUUAGUUCUUUUAGGGGUCGUUUGGUUGGCGAACAAGCUAUCCUGGGAUUAUAAUACCGGGAUUAAAUAGUGGAUAUAAUUUUAUUUGUAGAUGUUUGGUUCAUUUCAUUGGACUAAAAAUGGGAUAUACUGGGUAUAAUAUAAAACAUGUGUUUGGUUUAUUUCUAAUUUUAACCUUGGAUUUUUUGAAUGACUUUGGGAAAGAGCCUUGGAGAAGGGCAUCUUUGUUGUUGUAGUUUUUUAUCCCAGGAUUAGUAAUGCCGGGCUCAAUGUGGGAUAGAAAAAUACCACAAUCGUGGAUUAAUCCCGGGAUUGCUAAUCCCAGAUUCAAAAAUUCAGCCAAACACUGAAUAAGAAAAUCUCGCAUCUAAUCCGGAGAUUAUUAUCCUUUAUCCCACCAAUCAAACGACCUCUUAGAGUAUAUAGUGUCUUGGCUCUCCUGUUUCUGCAAGAAAAUUUGAACCUUCUAUUAAAGCUGUGCACCACUAUGAAAUGGUUCUGAAGGAUCAUUAGCUUCUGUUAAGUUUCUCAUAGACUGAUUUCAUAAAAUUAACCAAUUUUGUUAUGAAUGGUUUAUAUAGCUAACAAUGAGUUAUGACCUUCACUAUACUUUGUAAAGUAAAUUAAAACUUUGGCUUUGCUCUACUUGCUGUUACUUCUCACACCAUUUAAUUGAUGUUGGCAUGUUGCUUGCUGGUGCUGGUCAUAGUAUCAUAUUUCAUCUACAAGGCUUUGAUGUGUAAUUUCAAUGGUCUUGCAGUGUGUGCAUCAUUACCGGCUAUCCCUCGGGGUAAAUGGUACUGCAAGUAUUGUGAAAGCAUGUUACAGAGGGAGAAGUUUGCGGAGCGCAGUGCGAAUGCCUUAGCAGCCGGUAGGGUCUCUGGCAUUGAUCCCAUAGAGCAAAUAACAAAACGUUGCAUUCGCAUUGUCAAGAAUGCAGAAGAGGCAGAAUUUAUUGCAUGUGUUUUAUGCAGGUAAUUCUUUUGCGAAAAGCACAUUGGAGCCUAGCCCUAGCUUUGGUUGUUUGAUCCAGCAUGCCAUGUCUUUUCUUUCUACAGAGGUUAUGACUUUAGCAAGUCUGGUUUUGGUCCACGGACUGUCAUCCUAUGUGACCAGGUUUUUCCUCAUCAUUUUUUAUAUCUGUCUUAUUCAACUAAAUAUAUAAACCUGAAAUACUUUACUCGCCAUUUGCUUUUCAGUGUGAGAAAGAAUAUCAUGUUGGCUGCUUAAAGAGAAGCAAGAUAGCAGAUUUGAAGGUGCGUGCAUUUGCAUUUCAGGACUCUUUCAUGAGUAGUUCUUUUCUAAGUCCUGUGUGCCUGUAUUCCUUUUCCUUUAUUAUCAGGUGAGAUUUUGUUCUUUGGGGGUGGGUUUUGGGGUUAAAAGUUAAUGCUUCUUGCACCACAGGAAUUGCCUAAAGGAAAAUGGUUCUGUAGUAAGAAUUGCAACAAGAUCUAUUCUGCACUGCAAAGUUUGCUAACCUCAGGAGAAGAGAGGUUGCCAGAUUCUUGUUUGGAUGCAAUAAGGGUGAAGGAAAAAGAAAACCGUUUGGCUGCUGUUGGUGAACUUGAUGUUAGAUGGAGACUUUUAAGUGGCAGAAUUUCCUCUCGUGAAACCAGAAGGCUACUGGCAGAAGCUGUUUCUAUCUUCCAUGUAAGCAUUAUCCCUGAUAUCAUUUCUUCAAAAGCUUGAUCAAUCGACAUUGACUAUGAUAUUUAAGGUACUAUGAACAACAAAAGCUUGCUCUCCACUUUACUUGAUGGGGUGGGGGAGGCCGGCAAAUAAGUUACUCGUGCUCUUUUUGGUGUCAGUGUCUUUUGUCAUUUUGUGACUCGUUUUUAUGAAUGGUAUGAACAUAUUUAAAAUUAUUGCUCUUGCGCAUUCAGAAUUGCUGAUGCGGGAAAACAGACUUGUUAUGAUGUUAGCAUCUGUAUAUCAUUUAAACUUGCUGUUCUGGUACUCUCUAUUUCAUUUAACUUGCUGUUCUGGCAUUUAUACCAGCCUUUUGUUAGCAGAGUCUCAGAUGAUUUACCAUUUAAUUGAUCUGAUAUGGAUAUUUCUUUUCAUUUUACCCUCAUUAAUAAGAUGGCUUUCAUCAAAGGAAUGUGUCUUUCAAGAAUUUCUAGUAUAUCUUUCAUUGCAUGUGUCAGCUUUGAGGAAAAAAGUUAGCAUCAAUGUUUUCAUUAUUGACUUUUCAGGAUUGUUUCGAUCCUAUUGUUGAUUCAGUAACUGGACGUGACUUCAUUCCAUCUAUGGUCUAUGGGUAGGCUUUGUUCUCCUUUGUUUCCGGAGUUGGGUUUUCCAUGUAGUUUCGUGAUAGCUCCAAUCUUAGAGUCGCUCUUCCUCACCUUAUCUUGCCUCCUGCAGAAGGAACAUUAGGGGCCAAGACUUUGGAGGCAUGUAUUGCGCUAUAUUGACUGUAAAGUAAGUACUACAGUCUGUUUAUUUAAAGCUCUUGGUAGUUUAAGCUUAUUAUGAUUAACCUGCUCAAGAAGCUCUUUGGCUAAUCAAUGCAGCUCAACUGUAGUAUCAGCAGGGAUCCUCCGGAUUUUUGGCCAGGAUAGGGCAGAACUCCCUCUUGUGGCAACCCGUGUUGGUAGCCAAGGCAAGGUAUAGCAAUGAAGCUGCUCUCAUAAGACCUCUCUUGUUCCUUCUAUGAUAGUCUUUUAUUUUUCUGUCUUUUUACGUUUUGUUGCUUAGAAAAUUUCUUGCAAUACUUAGUUGCGUUAGCUAGAAUUACAUCUUGGAAGACCAGUUAAGCACGGUUCAAAUUCAGAAGGCAUUACCUUAUAUUUACAUGUGUUUAGGCUUUUGGGUAGAAGAGUUGCAUAAGUCGACGGAAAGAAAUUAGCUGUCCGAUAGAAAGCAGACAAUAUUUAUUGCUUGGUCAUUUAUACCAGUGAUGUAUGUUUGAAGAACUUAAAUACCUGGUAUAUGCAGAUGGAACAUGAAGGGGAGCCUUGGCGUAAUUGGUAAAGUUGCUGCCAGGUGACCAGGAGGAUAUGGGUUCGAGCCGUGGAAACAGCCUCUUGCAGAAAUGCAGGGUAAGGCUGCGUACUAAAGACCCUUGUGGUCCGGCCUUUCCCCGGACCCCGCGCAUAGCGGGAGCUUAGUGCACCGGGCUGCCCUUUUUUAUGCAGCUGGAACAUAUUGACCUCCAACAGUUGCCAGCCACUGCCAGAAUGUCACUUUUCGCUGGAUUGUUGGCAUGUUCUUUAGUAUUUAUGUUAAAAGAUGAUCCCUUUUCCUUUUUUAACUUUAAAGUGAUACCGAUAGAAUAAGAAUUUAGGCUCUGACAAAGGAAUCAACUAUUUCGUGUAUUCUAGUAUGUAAAUGCUCUGCUAAGAUUCAUUUAGGUUAACACCCCCUUUACCAUAUCCGUACGUAACAAAGGUGAAUGUUAGUUGGCAUAUUUGUGAACUCUGAUGUUUCAUGAUACAAAAUAUGGUGUACUUGCUUAGUUUACAUGUUGGGGCAGCCUGUCUAGUUAACUAGAAGUGUAUUUUUUGAAAGAUAUUUGAAUGUUUACAGGGAUACUUUCAGUUGCUGUUCUCCUGCAUAGAAAAAUUGCUUUCAUUUUUGGGUGUGAGAAGCUUUGUACUCCCAGCUGCUGUUGAAGCUAUGUCAAUAUGGACUGAGAAAUUUGGAUUCCAGGAGUUAACCCCAGAUCAGGUUUGUUUAGCAUGUUUCCAUGCUGGUGCUGCUGCAUCAUAUUUGGCCCUUUGAAUGCUAAGCUGUUGUAUUCUUUGCAGCUUGUCAGCUACCGAAGAACCUGUUGGCAAAUGAUUAGCUUUAAAGGCACAUCUAUGCUGGAAAAGUCGGUCUCUAGAUGUAGAAUCAUUCAGCAGCGGGAAGCUGAAAAUGAUGUUCCAGAUGAAUAGUUUGACACAGAUGAUAUUAGUUUUAUCCCAUUUUGUAGAGCCAUUUCUUUUCAAUACAUGUACAUUAUAUCUUAUUUGAGCAGAGAUGGUGAGUAGUAACUUUUAUGAAUGAGCUUUAGCGGAUCAGAAUUGUGUAAAAAGGUUCUAUAACUGCGAACAUAUCUUGAGUUCGAUUCUCUUUCUUAACCACUCUUAGAGUGGGAUCUUAUUAUCUAAUAUUAACCUCAAAUUUGAGACGAUUUAAUGGAGUCCAAUUCUGUAACAAGCUUUACAGUGAACCUUAUCAACAAUGAAGGUUUGGGUCAUUAUUUUCCUUUAAAACUACUGUUGAGUUUAUUCCUCUUUUUAACUAUCAACGAGGUUUCAGUAUCAGUAGCUGAACAUUGCCAUCUGAAUAUCAAAAGAUCAACCUUUAUCAACCUUUAAAGAACUUUCUACUCAACGUGCACACCUAGUAGUACAAAAUGAUGGAAUUUUUUCUGGAUUCUAUUCUUUCUAUGUGAAACCUUUUAUAUGAAAACUGAGAAGGGCAUACGUCAUAUAUGAUCUGCUACUUUUGUUGAUUCCAAUUUCCAAGUAUUCAAAGUAAAGAACAGGGUCCUUGGGCUUUAUGUUAGCUAUUCGAAUUUCUACAAAAAUUCAAUUGACUUGGUCGUUGAAACCAAGUGAACCUCUCCCCCACUGUUAGUUGCAUGAUGUCGAUACGUUCAUUAAAAGGAGUUGAGGCAUAGUCAUUCAACUCGUCAGCAUAUAUUACGUCGUCUCACACUGCUGCUGUUGUGAUAACCAAAAGAAUCACAACAACAUUCUCAAAUAUUGUUGUCUCUGUCAUGAGGUUCAUCUAAUCCACUUUCUACUGUGCUUGUAAUAAAGUUCAGUACUCAAAUUUUUAUCCAAUAGACACAAAUAAAUUAGUUUUUGAUAGCAUAAAAAUACUUUAGACGGAGAGUGUUCGAAUCGUAGUAUUGCAGUUGACUGGCUACCUAAACUUUUAGGGUUCGAUUCCAUAUUUGUAAUCCCAUCCCUAUUUCCCCUUUUUCCUCCCCCAUUUUUUCUUUUUUUAAAAAAGACAGACGGUAUUUAUAAAUAAAUUGUAAUGAUAAACUCAUAAUAUCCAGCUUCUUAAGACGCAUCCCCUUUGACAUCCAUUGUUACACAAAGAGUACUACACACAUACACUGAUGUUUAUAUAUGUUAUAUGCUGAUCAACUCGAUCUCCCUUCCUCAAAAGCCUUGAAAUAUGUGAAGCGGAAACCUUACAUAAUUUUCAUAGAUGAAAAGAACAAAAUAUGUAGAAGCGAAAAAGAAAGAAAAGAAAGGUCAUCAUUUCAUAUUGUUACACUCUUUAGUUUAUAUUCCGUUGUUCCUGCAAAAGCAACGCCGCUGUACUAGAAGCAGAUUAUUAUUAUAAUGACAAAUGAAGAAGCUUCUUGAACUUUCUAACUUAUUAUCAACGUUAUGCUUUUGCAAUAAAUCUUCUUUGCUUUUCCAUUAAAAUCUCCCAGACGAGGUAAAAAAAACAAAUAAUAAUAAUAAUAACAAUAAUGAAAGAAAUUAAACAACUUAGAUAGCCAUUGAUCUGAUGUAAAAAUAGUAGCAGAUCUAUAUCAUUUUGUUGCAUCUUACAAAAAUAUAACCAUAUAUAUAAACUAUGUCGCUUGGACCGUCGAGUGUGCAAUCCAAAACGGGUGUGGCAAUAUUUUGGAGGGUCCCAGCAACAUAAUAUAGAAAUUAUCUUCAUUUUCUUUAUUGUCCAUUGUACUGAGAUAAGCAUGCAUCAAAGUAAAGCUUUCAUCAAUACUUCACACCCAAAUUAAAAAGAAUUUAACUUAUAUACAUUAACAAUGUAAAGAAUUUUAUAUUAUUCAUAUAUUUUAACAUAUUGUAAUAGGCUUAGUAUUUCCUUAUUUUACAAGUUAUUAAUCUCACUUAUAAUUAUAUUUUUAGAUGAUUUGACGAUGUAAAUGCUUUUACACUACUAGCGUAUAGAACUUAAACUCGAUUAAAAGUAAAUUAAAUCCCUUUCCCUUACAUAAUUUCUUGGCGUGUCCAUUAUCUAAUCUCCACUUUUUUUCAGCUGCCCAUAUCUUUAACCAUGAUCUUCCCCUUUUUUCAAUCUCUCUUCAUUACUAAAAUAUGUAUUGUAAUGAAUGACCCUUUGCCCACACUUCUCUUACCUCCUACGUCAAUAAAAAACUGGCCAUUCUUCCAAUAUUAAAUAUGUCAUGUUCGUGACAAUUCUUAACUCUUUAAAGCCACCAAAAAACAGUAAGCAAAACAACAACAAUUUCAAGAAUACCUAAACUAUGAAUACUACUAGAAGGACCAUUUUCUUUUGGUUCAUUGCCUUUACCAUUGCACUAUUUUCCAUCAUUUUUCCUCUCUAUUCCAAUUACAACUCUCCCACAAAUAAUGCAAUUGAAAGUACUAGCUUUCCACUUGCUUUGCUGAAAAGGGUAGUUGAGAAAAGUGGUUUACAAGAUUUCUUUUGUAUCUUUCAAGAAAUUACUAGGCUGCAUAAUUCUAAAUGCGACGAUUCAAAAUGGAACUCUAAGCUUAUAUCAGUUUAUGGAGUUUCACAUGUUUUGACAGUGGAUUUAAAUGGUUGUGCAAAUUUUAGUAGUAUACAAAAGGCAGUGGAUGCAGUUCCUGAUGAUAACCCUACUAGAACACUUAUUCUAGUUGAUUCAGGCACAUACAAGUAAUCUUUUACUUUUCUUUUUCCUUAUUAUAUUAUGAGUUUGAAACGAAAUUUAACUAUUUAAGUUUUGCUGACACUGUAUUUCUCUUAGGGAUUCAAAAUUAAAUUAUAUAUAUAUAUAUAUAUAUAUAUAUAUAUAUAUAAUUAAAACUUUGUGUGUACCCUAUUUAUGUCGUAUAACUUUAUCGAUGAAGGUAAUCCCCUUCAUAGCAUGUUGCUCCGUCAUUACUAACAGUGUAAAAGGACUUUUAUAUUAUGAGUGUAUUUUAACCUGUUGUAACAGCGGCAACCUUCGUAUUUUCAAGGUUACAAAUCUGACUUUUUAUUAUUUAAUGCUUCCAACAUAGUAUAUAUAUAGAAGUUAAACUCUUGAUUUUUUGAAUAAAAAUUUUCGUUAAUUGAAGUUUCAUGAUAUUCUGGCAGGGAGAAAGUGGUGAUAAACACUAACAAGACAAAUUUAAUAAUACAAGGCCAAGGUUACCUUAAUACUGCUAUAGCAUGGAAUGAUACUGCAAAUUCUACUGGUGGAACUGCCAACAGUUUUACUGUUGCUAUUUAUGCUCCCAAUUUCAUAGCCUAUAAUAUCAGCUUCCAGGUACACUGAUUGUCUUUCAUUUUUCAUAAACUAAUUAUCAAUCAUAUAAUUUGAAUUUUCUCCUGUAUUAACAAUUUUUUUUGAGUUUAAAUUCUAUACACUGACAAUGAAAAUUUCUAUGAUAUAUAUAAACAUAUAAUUAGUUAGUAGGUAGUUGAGCGUUUGUCCAUUCCGUACUGGGUGUAGGUCUAGUCUAUUAGUGCCUUGUUUUCGUAUGCAAGUCAUACGUGUUGUGUUCAUACUAUUUUUUCGCUCAGGUUUCCUAGUACCUUGCCAUUGUUGCUGAUCACUGAUAUUGAUUUUUAUUGCAUUUUCUAUUUAUUUUUCUGAUCUGUACUAUUUUUUGGCCUAUGUUGUUGAUAUUGUUCUAUUGUCUCUUUUCAUCUUCUUGUGUCGAUGGUCUAUCGGAAACAAUCUCUACCAAAAAGUUGAUAAAAUAACCUGUUAUUAUUAGUUAAAUAGCCUAAUAGACGUAGAAAAUAUUUACAUUGUUAGCGUAUAUAACUUAAAUAUGGGUCUUUUUUAAUGGAUUUAUGUUUGUUUUUGUUUAAGAACACAGCCCCUUCGGCUUCACCAGGAGAUGUUGGAGCACAGGCAGUGGCUUUAAGAGUAACAGGAGAUGAAGUUGCAUUUUAUGGAUGUGGAUUUUAUGGAGCACAAGACACUCUUAAUGAUGAUAGAGGACGACAUUAUUUUAAAGAUUGUUUCAUCCAAGGGUCCAUUGACUUCAUCUUUGGAAAUGGUAGAUCACUUUAUGAGGUAAUUAGAGUAAUUAACUCAAAAAAUUUACUAUAAUUACUUCCUUCGUCCAAGUUUACUUGUUCAUUAUACUAAAAAUAGAUGUUCUUUUUACUUGUCCAAUUUGAAAAAUCAAUGGAUAAUUUUCCAUUAUCUAUUCUACCCUUCUUAUUAAGUACUACUCUAUCCGUUUUAAUUUAGAUGAGGUAUUUUGAUUCGGCACGAAGUUUAAGAAAAAAAAAAGACUUUUGAAACUUGUGAUCUUAAAAGCUUUAUAGGGUCAUGACAUUUGUGUGGUUAUAAAAGCUUCUCACUAAGGGUAAAAUGAAUAAAAUGAAGAGUUUAAAGUUGAAUUAUUUCCAAUUGUAAAAAUUUUCGAAGGGACUAAUAAGGAAAAUGUAUCAUCUAAAUUGAAACAGAGGGAGUACUUAUUUUCAAUUCAUUUUCCAACAAAUAAUAGAGUUAGACAGGGGUAAUAUAGUAACAUUAUCAAGUUAUUAUUGUUUCUUUUGGGUGUGUCAAGUCUAUAGUGGACAAGUAAACUUGGACGGAUGGAGUGGAUCAUCUAAAAGAUGAGUACACAUUGUCCAUAAUAAGUUAAAAGUAUCACUUAAAAGCUAAUCAUUAUUACUCUUUAUGUCCCAAUUUAUAUGACGGUGUUGGAAUAUCAAGUAUCAAAUAAGUUUUUCUUUGACUGUAAUUUUUUCAUAUGAUUUUUAUACAUUUUGAAUUAUUAAUUACUAUGAUUUAUAUUAUUUUUUUUACGUAAUUUAUAAAUAUAUAAAUUUUAUUUCAGAAUAUAUUAAGAUUUUAUGUUUGAAUUCACGGUAAAAAUAAAAAAAGAUUGACCCUCAAACGUGAACUAUAUCACAUAAAAUUGUGACACAAAUUACGGAGUAUAAUAAUGUGAUAGAGACAUUUGGUAUUGACAUGUAUAUAUGACAGGAUUGCAGGAUAAAUUCAAUAGCAAAAGAAGAAACAGGUGGAAUUGGAGGAUCAAUCACAGCACAAGGAAGAAAUUCCCAAAAUGAAAAUUCUGGAUUUUCGUUUGUGAAUUGUGCUAUUAAUGGCAGUGGAAAAAUAUGGCUGGGCCGAGCUUGGGGAGCAUAUGCUACUGUCGUAUUUUCCAAAACGUAUAUGUCAAAUGUGGUUUCCUCAGAUGGCUGGAAUGAUUGGAGAGAUUCAACUAGAGAUCAGUCAGUAACUAUCCUAGUUAACAUCUAUAUAUAUUUUUUUUAUAUUCUCUAUUGCAGAAUUUGUUGAUUAAAUUAUAAAAAUUCUUUAAGAAUUAAGAAUAUAGAGAAUACAAAACACUUUAUAUAGCUGAAAAAAGGAGGAUAGGUUUAAAUUUGCUUUAGUAUUAUCCGUAAUUGAGAAAUUUUAUCGUAGGAAUGAUACUAGAUAGCCACUAUAAAGGGUUGCUAUUUAGAAAUUAAAUUCAAUUUUUCAGGACAAAUGUUCUGAAUUAUCUUGAAAUUAAAUUUUUUAGUUUAAAAUUUAAGAAUAAAAUAAAUAAUAGCUAAUCUUUAAAUAUCAUCCUUGAGAAUGACUACCCGCAUACUUCCCCUAAUUUUAUCUUACCCCGUUGUUGAACCUUUGGUCCAAUCUUACCCCACCGUUAAGAUAAAGUUUUGUUUUUGCCCUUAGAUGUUUACCUUAACAUCUAACGUUAAGGUAAUUUUAAAUUAUAUUUAGAAGUUGAGGGGUAAGUAUGUACUAGGGGUGUACAAACCGAACCGAAAAAUCGAACCAAACCAAAAAGUCAAACCAAACCGAUUAAAAAAAUCUGACUAGGUUUGGUUUGAUUUGGUUUGGUUUGGUUUUGAUAAAAACCGAACCAACCUGGUCUAUGUACAACUCUAGUAUGGACAUUCAUUAUCGAAGAAUUUGGACACGUUGAGGGAGUCCACCUAUUUCAUGUUGGAGCUCCAUUAACAGCAAGGGC
RNAcentral lists this long non-coding RNA (32954 nucleotides) under Nicotiana tabacum (common tobacco). RNAcentral's name for it is "long non-coding RNA (NTAB_LNC011696)". Lineage: Eukaryota; Viridiplantae; Streptophyta; Magnoliopsida; Solanales; Solanaceae. The record is from RNAcentral.